UUGGCUCCACCUUGUGAUGGGAAUGACGGCCACCGCUUGGCUUUAGGAAAACUUUGCGCUGCUUCUCUGCCUUUCGUUUGUUUAGAAUUGCCAUCGCUUCUCUUUCUUCAUCGUUUAAUCUGCCAUUCUUAUGACUUUAAAAUUUUUGUGUUCAUUAACGGCACAUCGAUUUCUGAAAUAAAAAAUGAUACUUUAAUAGAAAAUUGGGGGUUUUGCUGAGUUUCUUCACACUUCCGUAAUUGCUCCAUUAAGAUCAUAGUCGAAAGAGACUGAACCAACCAAGGUUGUAGGGAAUGGAAUCAAUAAAAAUGAAAGAAGCUCUUUUGAGAAAGAGGCUGAGUGUGGAGGAAAACUGUAGGAAGGCAUAUUUUCUUACUGAGAUUUGAGACACAAAAUUCAAUCAGUUUUCCAGUGAAAAUCAUAGAAACUGAUGAAUACUGUCACCCAUGUUGAAAAAGGUGCACAUCCUAUUCCGUAGCAAGCUGAUAAAGAUCCCAAACUCUUAUCCCUGCAUCUUCCUUUACUUUGCUUUUGGUGUACUUCUGUUUCAAUUGCAAACAUAUAAGAGUUUCAGUCAACUAUGUUACCUAUUGAACUUUGUAUCAAUGCAUGUGAGAUGUUUAGAUGGAUUACUCCGGAAGUUCUUAAAUUCUUUCUUACACAUACUUAUCACUUUUCAUCA
Nicotiana attenuata is the source of this 682-nucleotide long non-coding RNA. RefSeq lists it as uncharacterized. The transcript is spliced from 3 exons. The record is from RefSeq and is a predicted model, not a curated record. Lineage: Eukaryota; Viridiplantae; Streptophyta; Magnoliopsida; Solanales; Solanaceae.